This 987-nucleotide ribosomal RNA is filed under the name Plasmodium knowlesi. RNAcentral's name for it is "SSU rRNA". It matches the Rfam family "Eukaryotic small subunit ribosomal RNA", at positions 638 to 1428 of the family's 1831-position model. Lineage: Eukaryota; Apicomplexa; Aconoidasida; Haemosporida; Plasmodiidae. The record is from RNAcentral.
ACAUAACUGAUGCCUCCGCGUAUCGACUUUGUGCGCAUUUUAGCUAUUAUGUGUUCUUUUAAUUAAAAUGAUUCUUUUUAAGAUUCAUCUAUUAAAAAUUUGCUUCGGCAUAAUUUUUUUUGAUGAUCUUGUUACUUUGAGUAAAUUAGAGUGUUCAAAGCAAACAGAUAUAGCAUUUGUGCGUUUGAAUACUACAGCAUGGAAUAACAAAAUUGAACAAGUCAGAAUUUUUUUGUUCUUUUUUCUUAUUUUGGCUUAGUUACGAUUAAUAGGAGUAGCUUGGGGGCAUUUGUAUUCAGAUGUCAGAGGUGAAAUUCUUAGAUUUUCUGGAGACAAACAACUGCGAAAGCAUUUGCCUAAAAUACUUCCAUUAAUCAAGAACGAAAGUUAAGGGAGUGAAGACGAUCAGAUACCGUCGUAAUCUUAACCAUAAACUAUGCCGACUAGGCUUUGGAUGAAAGAUUUUAAAAUAAGAGUUUUUCUUUUCUCUCCGGAGAUUAGAACUCUUAGAUUGCUUCCUUCAGUGCCUUAUGAGAAAUCAAAGUCUUUGGGUUCUGGGGCGAGUAUUCGCGCAAGCGAGAAAGUUAAAAGAAUUGACGGAAGGGCACCACCAGGCGUGGAGCUUGCGGCUUAAUUUGACUCAACACGGGAAAACUCACUAGUUUAAGACAAGAGUAGGAUUGACAGAUUAAUAGCUCUUUCUUGAUUUCUUGGAUGGUGAUGCAUGGCCGUCUUUAGUUCGUGAAUAUGAUUUGUCUGGUUAAUUCCGAUAACGAACGAGAUCUUAACCUGCUAAUUAGCGGCAAAUACGAUAUAUUCUUAUGUAGAAUUGAAUAUAGUGGAUUUGUUAGAUUUUGAAGAAAAUAUUGGAAUUACGUUAAAUGUGAUUCCUUUCCCUUUUCUACUUAAUUUACAUUUCCAUCUAUUUCUUUUUUGCGUAUGAAUGUAUUUGCUUGAUUGUAAAGCUUCUUAGAGGAACGAUGUGUG